CUCUAGAGAUAGAGUGGAGGUUAUCCGGGAUACAGGUGGUGCAUGGUUGUCGUCAGCUCGUGUCGUGAGAUGUUGGGUUAAGUCCCGCAACGAGCGCAACCCUUGUCUUUAGUUACCAUCAUUCAGUUGGGGACUCUAGAGAGACUACCGGUGAUAAACCGGAGGAAGGUGGGGAUGACGUCAAAUCAUCAUGCCCCUUAUGGCCUGGGCUACAAACGUAAUACAAUGGCGUAUACAAAGGGAUGCGAAAGGGCGACCUGGAGCAAAACUCACAAAGUACGUCUCAGUUCAGAUUGGAGUCUGCAACUCGACUCCAUGAAGGCGGAAUCGCUAGUAAUCGCGGAUCAGCAUGCCGCGGUGAAUACGUUCCCGGGCCUU
RNAcentral lists this ribosomal RNA (378 nucleotides) under uncultured Erysipelothrix sp. Its description in RNAcentral is "bacterial SSU rRNA". It matches the Rfam family "Bacterial small subunit ribosomal RNA", at positions 998 to 1382 of the family's 1533-position model. The record is from RNAcentral. Lineage: Bacteria; Bacillati; Bacillota; Erysipelotrichia; Erysipelotrichales; Erysipelotrichaceae.